Molecule: long non-coding RNA, 216 nt
Organism: Clupea harengus (Atlantic herring)
Lineage: Eukaryota; Metazoa; Chordata; Actinopteri; Clupeiformes; Clupeidae
Exons: 3
Source: RefSeq, a predicted model, not a curated record
GGAAGAUACUGAAGUCAGUCAGUAGGUGUGAGGGCGUAGAUACUGAAGUCAGUCAGUAGGUGUGAGGGCGUAGAUACUGAAGUCAGUCAGUAGGUGUGAGGGCGUAGAUACUGAAGUCAGUCAGUAGGUGUGAGGGCGUAGAUACUGAAGUCAGUCAGUAGGUGUGAGGGCGUAGAUACUGAAGUCAGUCAGUAGGUGUGGGGGGGGAGAUACUGA